Molecule: ribosomal RNA, 458 nt
Filed under: uncultured bacterium
Lineage: Bacteria
Description: partial 16S ribosomal RNA
Rfam family: Bacterial small subunit ribosomal RNA
Source: RNAcentral
CCUACGGGAGGCAGCAGUGAGGAAUAUUGGUCAAUGGGCGAGCGCCUGAACCAGCCAAGUCGCGUGAGGGAGUACUGCCCUAUGGGUUGUAAACCUCUUUUGUCGGGGAGCAAAAGCCGGACGUGUCCGGCUGUGAGAGUACCCGAAGACAAAGCAUCAGCUAACUCCGUGCCAGCAGCCGCGGUAAUACGGAGGAUGAGAGCGUUAUCCGGAUUUAUUGGGUUUAAAGGGUGCGCAGGCGGAUUGUUAAGUCAGCGGUAAAAUCGUGGGGCUCAACCCCAUCCAGCCGUUGAAACUGGGGAUCUAGAGUGUGCGAGAGGUAUGCGGAAUGCGUGGUGUAGCGGUGAAAUGCAUAGAUAUCACGCAGAACCCCGAUUGCGAAGGCAGCAUACCGGUGCACAACUGACGCUCAGGCACGAAAGCGUGGGUAUCGAACAGGAUUAGAUACCCCAGUAGUC